This 395-nucleotide transfer-messenger RNA is filed under the name Patescibacteria group bacterium. It matches the Rfam family "transfer-messenger RNA". Rfam says of the family: Bacterial tmRNA, also known as 10Sa RNA or SsrA, is named for its dual tRNA and mRNA-like properties. Its role is to liberate the mRNA from a stalled ribosome. RNAcentral also lists the same sequence under 1 other name. The record is from RNAcentral.
GGGGAUGUCUUAAUUCGAUGGAAUUUGAUCAGAUAUCAAUGCCAACUAUCCUUAAAAUCAUGAUAUAAAACUGAUUUUAUUAAUCACAAAUGCCAAAUCAUUUGUUAGCAAAGCGAAAUCUGCAUUAGCUCGCGCUUUUGCAGUGCCCGCUUUUGCUCCUGUCGCUGUUUAAUGCAACGACCACUGGGCAGUUGACUCCUACUAAACUGUCUAGUGCCAAUAGUGGGAUAGGUAGCGGAUUUUGUUCGGAGUCCAUUACCAAAAACAAACGAACUUUGGUUUAGAUGGUUUUGCUUAUUUUUAGCAUCUAAAUUGAAUUUUAAAAUGAGCUAUAUUGGUAGAAAUUGAUAUUUUAUCCUUUCUAGACGCGGGUGCAAUACCCGCCAUCUCCACCA